CGUCAAGUCCUCAUGGCCCUUAUAGGUGGGGCUACACACGUCAUACAAUGGCUGGUACAAAGGGUUGCCAACCCGCGAGGGGGAGCCAAUCCCAUAAAGCCAGUCGUAGUCCGGAUCGCAGUCUGCAACUCGACUGCGUGAAGUCGGAAUCGCUAGUAAUCGUGGAUCAGCAUGUCACGGUGAAUACGUUCCCGGGUCUU
RNAcentral lists this ribosomal RNA (200 nucleotides) under uncultured Comamonas sp. RNAcentral describes it as "partial 16S ribosomal RNA". It matches the Rfam family "Bacterial small subunit ribosomal RNA", at positions 1183 to 1382 of the family's 1533-position model. The record is from RNAcentral. Lineage: Bacteria; Pseudomonadati; Pseudomonadota; Betaproteobacteria; Burkholderiales; Comamonadaceae.